This 709-nucleotide ribosomal RNA is filed under the name uncultured bacterium. RNAcentral's name for it is "bacterial SSU rRNA". It matches the Rfam family "Bacterial small subunit ribosomal RNA", at positions 9 to 762 of the family's 1533-position model. The record is from RNAcentral.
UAGCUUGAUCCUGGCUCAGGAUGAACGCUGGCGGUAUGCUUAACACAUGCAAGUCGAACGGUGUCUUCGGACACAGUGGCGGACGGGUGAGUAACGCGUGAGAAUCUGCCUUCAGGUCUGGGACAACCACUGGAAACGGUGGCUAAUACCGGAUGUGCCGAGAGGUGAAAGGUUAACUGCCUGAAGAUGAGCUCGCGUCUGAUUAGCUAGUUGGUAGAGUAAGAGCCUACCAAGGCGACUAUCAGUAGCUGGUCUGAGAGGAUGAUCACCCACACUGGGACUGAGACACGGCCCAGACUCCUACGGGAGGCAGCAGUGGGGAAUUUUCCGCAAUGGGCGAAAGCCUGACGGAGCAAUACCGCGUGAGGGAGGAAGGCUCUUGGGUCGUAAACCUCUUUUCUCAGGGAAGAACACAAUGACGGUACCUGAGGAAUAAGCAUCGGCUAACUCCGUGCCAGCAGCCGCGGUAAUACGGAGGAUGCAAGCGUUAUCCGGAAUGAUUGGGCGUAAAGCGUCCGCAGGUGGCUAUGUAAGUCUGCUGUUAAAGCGUCUAGCUCAACUAGAUAAAAGCAGUGGAAACUACAAGGCUAGAGUGCGUUCGGCGCAGAGGGAAUUCCUGGUGUAGCGGUGAAAUGCGUAGAGAUCAGGAAGAACACCGGUGGCGAAUGCUCUCUGCUAGGCCGCAACUGACACUGAGGGACGAAAGCUA